This 301-nucleotide ribosomal RNA is filed under the name uncultured bacterium. RNAcentral describes it as "partial 16S ribosomal RNA". It matches the Rfam family "Bacterial small subunit ribosomal RNA", at positions 509 to 807 of the family's 1533-position model. The record is from RNAcentral.
CAGUAGCCACGGUAAUACGUAGGUGGCAAGCGUUGUCCGGAAUUAUUGGGCGUAAAGGGCUCGCAGGCGGUUUCUUAAGUCUGAUAUGAAAGCCCCCGGCUCAACCGGGGAGGGUCAUUGGAAACUGGGAAACUUGAGUGCAGAAGAGGAGAGUGGAAUUCCACGUGUAGCGGUGAAAUGCGUAGAGAUGUGGAGGAACACCAGUGGCGAAGGCGACUCUCUGGUCUGUAACUGACGCUGAGGAGCGAAAGCGUGGGGAGCGAACAGGAUUAGAUACCCCCGUAGUCCCUGUCUCUUAUAC